AUGAACAUUGGGAAGGAUUCAUUUAUCCUUCCCAUUUAUGUCUAGCUCCAAUAAGGAACACUUCAGAAGCGAUUCAUGGUACGAGAAAAGCGGCAACUUUUAGAGGAUUUCCUAGGUUAGGAGUUUAAAACUCAUGCUCGUUUUCUUAUUACAUUAAUUUGUUUUGUCCUUGAUCAAGGCUCCAGUUUACUUCUUUCCAUGAUUGUUUUUUAUUAUGAAAAGCAAGGCUAGCUGUAGAAAUGCCAUCUGCGAUUGUUUUUGCCAUUUUUAAUACAAGAUUAAGCCUUGUAUUUUGCAAAACAAAAAAUUCCAUAAAGCCGCUGACAUUCACAAUACCUGUAAUAUGUAUGUCUCCUACAGGCGGAAGCUCUUUAUUUACUCCUGCUCCGGGUUUAACCGGACCUUCACCGAUUUGAAUAACGCCAACGCUUUUUAGCCGGCCAAGGCAUGCAUCAAUUCCGAUGAUAAAAGGAUGAACAUGUUUUUCUUUUAUCUCCAUUAAUUUAUCUUCAAGAUUAACAGCAUGGAUUGGAUCCUCAAGCGUUCCGUAUACAUGAAAAGGUGCAAUGGCCUUUUCUUCAAGUAGCGUUCCGACAAGUGGACCUAAUGAAUCACCAGUAGAGCGGUCAGUGCCAAUACAAACAAAUACGAUUGGGCGGCUGCUAAUAACUGGAAUAAGCGACAAUAAUUCUGUGGAAAUUUUUCCAGCGGCCAGCUGCUCAUCGUAAAAUAUUCUUGCCGUUUCGCCUCUCUUUUCAAAAAAAUUGGGUUUUAAAUUCAUUGGUUCCACUCCUUCUCCAUAGUAGUAACAGUAUACGG
RNAcentral lists this non-coding RNA (819 nucleotides) under Bacillus methanolicus MGA3. Lineage: Bacteria; Bacillati; Bacillota; Bacilli; Caryophanales; Bacillaceae. The record is from RNAcentral.